CCAGCGGGCCCUUGGUCUGCGGGCACACCAGAAUUUCCAGCAAUUUGGGAUCGACACCGCUUUCGGGUCGUUCAGCCGGCGAGGUCGUCAUGCAUGGCUCCAGAGCUGUGCGUAGUUUUGAGCAUUGUAUCACACCCACGGCAGGCCGGAUCAACUUCCGCAGGGAACGAAAACGGCCCGUCGGGUAUCCGGCGGGCCGUCUGCAACAAUAAUUCGAUGCGAAAGUGCAGCGCUCCUUAGCGCGGCGCCAGCACCAUGACGACCUGACGGCCUUCGAAGCGGGCGUCCUGUUCGAC
Molecule: unclassified non-coding RNA, 296 nt
Filed under: Hevea brasiliensis (rubber tree)
Lineage: Eukaryota; Viridiplantae; Streptophyta; Magnoliopsida; Malpighiales; Euphorbiaceae
Source: RNAcentral